UAAUUAGCUCAGUCGGUAGAGCACUCGGCUGUUAACCGAUAGGUCGUAGGUUCGAGUCCUACAUC
RNAcentral lists this transfer RNA (65 nucleotides) under human gut metagenome. It matches the Rfam family "tRNA", at positions 6 to 65 of the family's 71-position model. From Rfam's summary of the family: Transfer RNA (tRNA) molecules are approximately 80 nucleotides in length. The record is from RNAcentral.